GUGCGCUUUUGAAAGGCAGCACGUGCUCUGGGAUUUAUUCUUUUUUUUUCUCAUUCUUCUCAACGCUAUUGCUGAUGUAAGGAAUUGGGCGUUUAAAAAAAAUCAUGGCAAAGGGGAAAUGCAGUUGAAGUGUUGGGGGAAGAGCUGAGAAACACACGAACGAGGUUGCGUGUUUUAUUUUGAAGCCACAUUUAUCGGCGGUUCGACGUGAUCACUUCCUCUUGUGGUUCUGAUUGCUAAGUGUAAGGUUUUGUAGCAACAGAUGAUGCCAUCCAAGCAACGUCAUUUUCAUGGACACCCCUGCUUAUUUCAGCAAGAUGAUGCCAAGACACAUUUUGCAUGUGUUACAACAGCAUGACUACAUAGUAAAAGACUCAGCUGAGAUGCCCAAGAAAGUGUCCUGACAGCGCCUUCUGAUGAGCUCACGCACUUGGGGUCAUCUGGAAGCCAUUUCUCCUCACAUUCUCUCCCUCGUCUCAUUUUAAUCUCUCGAUGCCGCGCCGCACCGCCUCCCCAACGCGAGCCUCCGCACCCCGCACCCCCCUGCUCCCCGCUCCCCUGGGUAGCCGGAGUUCAGUGGCCGAGGUCCGCGCACGCCAGGGCGGCGUGGCACGCAAGCUCAUCCCCGCUCGGCUCCCCAAGCACGCAAAAUCUCGGCGGCAUUAGAAAGAAAUAUCUCUAUACUGUACAUAAUACAUGGCUGCUGCGCUUGGUGCCACGCAGUGAAGUUCUAUCACGCAGCCUGCAUGCAGUGGAAGUGAAAAGUGUACAAAUAUCGUGAAUGUACCGGGAAAUAUUAGAAUUUAAUUCCUGCACUUUUUGACUUAACAAGAAAACCAGAAUUUAUGAUGUCUCUGUGAGUCUUUAACCGUUUUAGUGUGUGACGAAGCAUCUUAUAUUACCCUUCAUGUUUAAGAUUUCAGGUUAGCACAGCGCUUUUGUGGUUAGCAUGCUUGCUUCACAGUUCGGAGGUUCAGCGUUUGAGUCUUAGCUCCAGCCUUCCCGUGUGGAGUAGGUUAAGAUACUGAUGCUGAUAGUCACUCAUUGUCAUGCACAUCAUGUGAAUUGUUAUAGUUUUCCUUCAGAAAUCUCACUUCAGCAAGCAUCAAAGGAUAACAUAUUGUGGUUUUGGGGGAUUAAAGGACAUGUGAGUCACCUGUGCAUUACACUUUAUCGUGAAUUUUUAUUAAGAGAUUUGACAUAAAGUUAACUUCUUUGACACUUAAAUGACCACAAAAUAUGACUAAAGUUAGUAAGCAUUUUAUGAUGGCGACAGUUUUAGUUCCAUAGUUCCAAUGGAGGGGGGGGGGAGGGAUGGUUGUCAAAAUCAAAGUGUACUCGGAGUGACCUGAGAAUUUGUGGCGCUGAUAUGUUAGCUCUGUGAGGAGGUGUGUGUGCAUGUGUGCCACUUCCACAGGGUGAACUAUUGUAUCCAUGAGGUGAAACCCUUUCGUCAAAGAUAAGGGAACUCGUUUGAGGAGACGGCCAAAAGCCAGCUGGAACACGUCGGCAAGAUGACGUCUGCUGUCAUUCUAACAAAAGCCCGACUCGCCACUGGGGCAGCAGUUUGUGGUGCGGGGUGAAGGCUGGUAGAAAUAUGCUGUAAAAAUAUGUCUAUCAUUGUUAAGGCAUGGUAUAUUUUGAAGCAAACAUGUCAUCACUAAGACUCCUCGAAAGUGUUUUAAAUUAUGAAA
This is a long non-coding RNA of Syngnathoides biaculeatus (alligator pipefish), 1694 nucleotides long. RefSeq lists it as uncharacterized. The record is from RefSeq and is a predicted model, not a curated record. Lineage: Eukaryota; Metazoa; Chordata; Actinopteri; Syngnathiformes; Syngnathidae. The transcript is spliced from 3 exons.